RNAcentral lists this ribosomal RNA (496 nucleotides) under uncultured bacterium. RNAcentral's name for it is "partial 16S ribosomal RNA". It matches the Rfam family "Bacterial small subunit ribosomal RNA", at positions 28 to 506 of the family's 1533-position model. The record is from RNAcentral.
GAUGAACGCUGGCGGCGUGCCUAAUACAUGCAAGUCGAGCGAACGGACGAGAAGCUUGCUUCUCUGAUGUUAGCGGCGGACGGGUGAGUAACACGUGGAUAACCUACCUAUAAGACUGGGAUAACUUCGGGAAACCGGAGCUAAUACCGGAUAAUAUUUUGAACCGCAUGGUUCAAAAGUGAAAGACGGUCUUGCUGUCACUUAUAGGUGGAUCCGCGCUGCAUUAGCUAGUUGGUAAGGUAACGGCUUACCAAGGCAACGAUGCAUAGCCGACCUGAGAGGGUGAUCGGCCACACUGGAACUGAGACACGGUCCAGGCUCCUACGGGAGGCAGCAGUAGGGAAUCUUCCGCAAUGGGCGAAAGCCUGACGGAGCAACGCCGAGUGAGUGAUGAAGGUCUUCGGAUCGUAAAACUCUGUUAUUAGGGAAGAACAUAUGUGUAAGUAACUGUGCACAUCUUGACGGUACCUAAUCAGAAAGCCACGGCUAACUACGU